This is a non-coding RNA of Phrynosoma platyrhinos (Desert horned lizard), 71 nucleotides long. The record is from the annotation of a GenBank genome assembly. NCBI's taxonomy places the organism in Eukaryota, Metazoa, Chordata, Lepidosauria, Squamata, Phrynosomatidae.
GCCAGCGUGGUGUAGUGGUCUGAGCAUUGGACUAUGACUCUGGACACUGGGGUUCAAAUCCACACUUGGCC